GGAUUCGUAGCUCAGCUGGUAGAGUGCUUGCCGCGUUGAGGCAUGCCGUGUUUGUCGCUGGUUCGAAUCCAGCUGAAGCCC
This 81-nucleotide transfer RNA is filed under the name Paragonimus westermani. RNAcentral's name for it is "tRNA-Asn". It matches the Rfam family "tRNA". Rfam says of the family: Transfer RNA (tRNA) molecules are approximately 80 nucleotides in length. Their secondary structure includes four short double-helical elements and three loops (D, anti-codon, and T loops). The record is from RNAcentral. Lineage: Eukaryota; Metazoa; Platyhelminthes; Trematoda; Plagiorchiida; Troglotrematidae.